GAGCAUUCUUUUAAACCCCCUAUAGUUUGAUAGCUGCUAGGACAAGAAGGAAUGCAAGAGCAACAUGCACCUGGAUGUAUCCAAAGUGAAGAGUCUCUAACAGUGCCUCUUUGCUAUUUCAAGUCUGUGACAUUACU
Polyodon spathula (Mississippi paddlefish) is the source of this 137-nucleotide small nucleolar RNA. RefSeq annotates it as small nucleolar RNA SNORA14. The record is from RefSeq and is a predicted model, not a curated record. Lineage: Eukaryota; Metazoa; Chordata; Actinopteri; Acipenseriformes; Polyodontidae. The transcript has a single exon.